UAAUCAUGAGAUAUGGGCCUGUUGAAUUUGAAAAUAAGAGAGAGAAAGAUAAUGAUGACAAGUCAUCUUUAGAAAAUGUUAGCGAUGUUGAGUUUGCUAAGGAUGAUAUGUUAGUUGUACAAAUAAUGGUUGCCUUGUGGUUAACUAAGUGUGCGUUGUAAAGAAGGAUCCUUUAACCAUUAAUUAAUAAUGUGACUUGAGCUGUAAAA
This 209-nucleotide long non-coding RNA is filed under the name Ricinus communis (castor bean). RNAcentral describes it as "long non-coding RNA (RCOM_LNC002381)". Lineage: Eukaryota; Viridiplantae; Streptophyta; Magnoliopsida; Malpighiales; Euphorbiaceae. The record is from RNAcentral.